Long non-coding RNA from Triticum aestivum (bread wheat), 3454 nucleotides. RefSeq lists it as uncharacterized. NCBI's taxonomy places the organism in Eukaryota, Viridiplantae, Streptophyta, Magnoliopsida, Poales, Poaceae. The transcript has 3 exons. The record is from RefSeq and is a predicted model, not a curated record.
CUCUCCGCACGCUACGCACCCAAUCCUUCCUCUCGUCUUUCUCGCACACCAGCCGCCGGACAGCCCUACCCGCAUCCCCUCCUUCCUCCUCGCUCGUCACCAGGGCCUCCGCCCUAAGAGCCUCGCUGCUGCUUGCUCCCCUCCUCCACCGGACCUUUGCUUCUUCUCCACCCCGACUUCCUUCUCUUGGUUGUUUAUCCGGCCGUCGGCGGCGACUGGUUCCAGAUCUGGCGCAAGUUAGGCGAGCCCUGUGGUGGCGUGAAGGGGCAGGGGAGGCGGGCGACGAGGACAAGCAACUGUCGGCCCGUCGUGGGUGAGGCUACAGGGAAGAGGGAGGAGGCAGGCGACAGGGUGAAGGAGCACGCUGGUCCUCGUGGAGGAGGCGUCGCCGGCCAGGGGCCAUUUGCCAUCGCCGGCCUCACUCGCCCCGUCUACUCUCUCUUCACCAACCCGACCACGGUGGAUGGGGCAAGCACGUUUGUGGCCAUCCAGUGGAGCCCCACCUCCGGUCGUAGGAUUGCGUCGCCGUCUUCUUGCGUCGGUCGUGCCCUGGACGAACUCACCCACACCAGCCGUUUCAGAUCAUGUGUUUUUUUAACGAAGUUUCAGAUCAUAUGUUGAUACUCUUUUUUACUCAAUCUUUCGUAUUAACCAUCAGCGUAAAGGAUACCAUGUUGUGAAGAAUUGCUUGGGCCCAUGCUUCAGGUGAAAUUAAUUCCUUGACUGUUCUGGUUCUUGAUAAUUCAUUCUAGAAUUUGGCCCUUAUUACUUGUGUGUCCCAGGUUACUGCUUUUUUGUUCUGUUGGUUGAGGUUUGUUCCUUUUCUUUCUAACCAACUGUUUGCUUCUUCACGGCUAAGAUUUGAGUGAAAGAAGGCCACAACAGGGGAGAAGUGCCCAGGGUCAGAACACCCACAGCUGAAGGUUAUGUCAGAUUGUACGAACUUUCGUUCUCUGUUUCCUUCUAAUUAAUAAUACUGAUGCAGUUUAAGUGGUAUGCAUUGACACAUUUUCUUAGUUUUGCAGCGCUCGAAAAUUGUGGAAGCCUGUGUGAUUCUCUCGAAUCUAGCUUAGGCCAACCGUUUAAGUGUUUGGAUGCUCUUCACAUUUGCUUAUAAACUACCAAAUCAUCUGCAGGCCUGAUCUGACAAUCACCAAAGAAUGUUUUGAACUUCUAUCGCUGGUUGACAUACCCUAAGAAGAUGGGGCAUACAAUUUUUGUUAGCCUGGAGUUAUGGACAUGCUCUUCAGUCAAAUCUCCAACUUCCCAGAUGGUUCAUUCCUUUAGGGUUGUUCUUGCGAUCCAGGUGAGUUGAGCAGUGGCUUGGUUGAAGAUGUUGGUGCUGUUUGAGACGCCCACUGGGUUCACCCUUUUCAAUGUUCUGAAUGAGGGCAAGCUCGACAUGGUCGAGGAGGUUUAGCAGGUCUGACUUAUGGUCUAAGUUGAUGGUGUUUAGCAAUAUUGGUUCGAUCCAUGCAGAGGUCCUCGCUGUCGUUGCAGUGGCAGGACAAUACGGCGAGGAGCCUCCUCCUCCUCGCGGUGGCUGGCUGUUAAAUGCUUUCGUUUUGUUUUCAUUUUGCCAAAGGUUGGACUGGUAUUUGUUUGGUUUCAUGAUGGAACAAUAUUGCGAGUCAAAUGUGACAUGCAUGAUUGUUUAGCAUUGGAACCAAAUUUCAUGGGGUAAAGCGAGCAUCACUUCCCUUCAUUUUCUGUUUGGAGUAAAGCAUGCCUUUUGGUUAAUGGUGUGAUAACCUGGUUUGCAAGUUUAUGUUUUUCUUCUGGUUCAAACAUGAAAACAAGAGGCUGAUGGAGUGCCCUGUAUUGCUGCUACUUGAUUUUCUGUGAGCUUUCAAAUUAGUUCUGCGCUGUCCUUCAACAAUUGCUUUGCUACAUACAUAUAAUGCAGAAGAAUUGGUAUCUCCAUAGGCAAUUGGUACCACGGUACGCUUGCUUAGGCCAUCUAACAUAUGGAUAGAGAUAGAGUUUAGGCACCUGGAUAAGGGGUUAUAGAGAUUGUACACCAAUAUAGCAUUAGCUGUGCAGUAUGAAAUAACUUAAGUAUCAAUAUCAAAUGUUCUUCUCUUUUCAUAGACAAAAGGGAUAAUGUGCCAUAUAUAAUUAUGGUAUGAUGCCUUUCCCACACAUUCAAUGGACAGUCCACUUCCAUGUUUAUUUCUUCUUACACCCAAAAUUUUUCUCUCUUGCAAGUAUUGACUGAAAGAUUAGCAAUAAAAUUAUUAUAAGAGUUAUUCUUGCCUACAUCGAAGCACUAUAAUGUCUACCAUUAAGUUACAGUUUAAAGUUCAUAUAUAGUAUUAUAUGUUGUUUUUAUUAUUUCGUCAAUUGAAGCUUUCUUAUUAGAUUUUUUCAAGCUGGAUUCCUUCUCAACAUCCUAUACUAAUACAGGUGAUUGGAUAAAGUUCUGUACUGAUAGUCCGAAACUUUGUGGUCGCCCAGGCUAUGCAGCCUUUAAUCAUAUUUAACAUCGUCAUGUAAGUAAAGAUGUCAUGAUCAGAAGUCAUUGGGUAUGUGCUAUAUAUAUGCGCAAAAUUUGAUAAACUACAUUGCGCAUUCAAUUGUUUUCAGGAAACAAUAUAUUUUCUUAAUUUUUUCUAACUCAAUGUGAAAACGACAUUCAUGUUUUUUUGUCCCUCGAAGGAGAUGAGGUUUAAUAUUUGCUUACAUGACCUGGAACAUUAGGAGAUGUUCAAAUGAGUAGUUAAAGAAGAAGAAUUAUUUGCAAAGAUGAUAUCUUUCUUUUCUGUAGAAAAAUGAUGGCUAUACCCACAAUAUUGCUCGACUUAGCUUAUUUGGCCAAUCAGGAUAAUAAUAAUUUUGCGGUUUUUGUACAAGUUUUAUUAGUUUAUUGUUUUCAGAAUUAGAAUCUUGCUGAUCAACCAAUCUGCAUUUUGUAGUUUAGUAGCUACCUACAUGAGGUAGGUCCAUUAACUCUUUUGUAGAACCAGAUUGUUGAUAUUUCCUCAGAAGUAAAAAUGUUACCUUUUCCUUUACUUGCUCAUUUGAAACCAGACUGUUAGGCACCCACCUUCCAAGAUAUAUAAACAACCAAAAAUAUCAUGUCAGGCUAUUCUUUUGUUCUUGAUCAAACAACCAACACUCUGGUGUAUAGGGUCUCUGGACAAACAAGCUUGAGGAGGCCAUUGUUUGGUGCAGCCCACGAUGACAACUACACCAUUGACCACUGAAGCAAGGUCCUUAUAUGGUCACUGAAGAAACGCGUUGUCAUCUUUUUUCCGACAGAAUGGCACUUUUCUUGAAUCUAUGCCAGUGUCUGUUGUAAUUUAAUAUCAUCCCUAGGAUAAACAUGAUUCUGUGUUGCCGUUCUUUAUCUCUAUUGUUGAAUCCAAAUUACUAAUGUGACAUGAUAACAUAUAUGAUGCGGUGGACAGUAUUGCUAAGAAGUGCACGGACACAGUGCUUUAUCAUGUCUUGA